Molecule: long non-coding RNA, 446 nt
Filed under: Manihot esculenta (cassava)
Lineage: Eukaryota; Viridiplantae; Streptophyta; Magnoliopsida; Malpighiales; Euphorbiaceae
Description: long non-coding RNA (MESC_LNC011184)
Source: RNAcentral
GGGGCUGUUGUCUCCACCACUCAUAAGUGGAUCACUGGUGAGGCCUCUUCCCUUCACCAGACUAGGAUUAUUUCAGGAGACGUAGAUCGUGAGGAGCCCUCUAGGCUUAAGGCCUGUGACCUCGCCACUCUCCCUAAAGUUGUUCACCACAUAGUCACCUAUGAGGUUCUCCCUAGAGCAGGUCAUAGGACUGCUUUAUCCUAUUCUGACAUGUUUGUAGUAUCCUGUCUGCUAGAGGGUCGAGCCCUUAACCUGCCCCAUAUCAUGAUUCACACUAUAGCUGACUCUCUUAGGCUGAGUAGGGGAUGUCUCCCCUUUGGUCGUCAUCUUACUCUUCUUCUCCGAGCCCUAGGGGUUGACCCAGGUACCGAGUCGGCCUUACCUUUGUCUAGUGAGUACACCCCCUACACUGAGGCUACCCUCCACCACAUGGGUUUGACUAGGAG